RNAcentral lists this ribosomal RNA (246 nucleotides) under uncultured bacterium. RNAcentral's name for it is "partial 16S ribosomal RNA". It matches the Rfam family "Bacterial small subunit ribosomal RNA", at positions 87 to 334 of the family's 1533-position model. The record is from RNAcentral.
UCUGGCGACCGGCGCACGGGUGAGUAACACGUAUCCAACCUGCCCUUUACUCGGGGAUAGCCUUUCGAAAGAAAGAUUAAUACCCGAUAGCAUAAUGAUUCCGCAUGGUUUCAUUAUUAAAGGAUUCCGGUAAAGGAUGGGGAUGCGUUCCAUUAGGUUGUUGGUGAGGUAGCGGCUCACCAAGCCUUCGAUGGAUAGGGGUUCUGAGAGGAAGGUCCCCCACAUUGGAACUGAGACACGGUCCAA